GAUGAGAACGUAGCGAAAUGCGAUAAGUAAUGUGAAUUGCAGAAUUCAGUGAAUCAUCGAAUCUUUGAACGCAUCUUGCGCUCCUUGGUAUUCCGAGGAGCAUGCCUGUUUGAGUGUCAUUGCUGCCCUCAAGCACGGCUUGUGUGUUGGGCCUCCGUCCUCCUCCCGGGGGACGGGCCCGAAAGGCAGCGGCGGCACCGCGUCCGGUCCUCGAGCGUAUGGGGCUUCGUCACCCGCUCUUGUAGGCCCGGCCGGCGCUUGCCGACACAUCAAUCUUUUUUCCAGGUUGACCUCGGAUCAGGUAGGGUUACCCGCUGAACUUAAGCAUAUCAAUAAGCGGAGGA
This 344-nucleotide unclassified non-coding RNA is filed under the name soil metagenome. Its description in RNAcentral is "partial contains 5.8S ribosomal RNA, internal transcribed spacer 2, and large subunit ribosomal RNA". The stretch from base 5 to 119 matches the Rfam family "5.8S ribosomal RNA", at positions 40 to 154 of the family's 154-position model. The record is from RNAcentral.